Long non-coding RNA from Cyprinus carpio carpio, 798 nucleotides. NCBI's taxonomy places the organism in Eukaryota, Metazoa, Chordata, Actinopteri, Cypriniformes, Cyprinidae. The record is from Ensembl.
GAGCUUAUAUAUGGCUAAACACAUCUACACACAUCAAGAAAGCAUCUCAGCAUGGCAUACAGAAUAGAGUUUUGCACCGCUGGUGUACUCCUGCUGCUGUCCUUACUGCACACCAGUCAGUCUGCACAUAUUGUCGCUGUGCAGCAAAUGGCAGAGUUGGGUAGAGAUGCGUUGACAUAUCUGGAGAAUGAAGCAAAGUCGGCCCUGAGGAAUCACAUAGGCUCCCACUCAGCUGGAUGCAUUCAGGAGGCAAAGAAGCACGAACACCUCAACUGCAAUCUCAUCUCCACAUUCAGCUCAUACUUGGAGGAGGCAGCUAAUCUAAAGAAUCUCGACAAAGAGCUGUGCAACAAGCUGAAAGCUAUCAUACAGAGUGUUGAAUAUCUAACAGACACAAAGUGCAGUGGAAGUUUAAAAACCUGUGAGCCAGCCUUUCAAGGCAGUAAAGAAGCUCAUAGGAAUUUAGAAAAGCUGAGAAGCCUACUUGUGCUUUACAUACAGUGGAUUGUCAAACCCAUGUAGUGAUGGUACUUAGUGAUAAACGUUCCAUCAUUCCCAUUUCUACAGAUGCUUUCACUAUUUAUUUUUGCUGUUUCAGUUAUUUAAUGCUAGAAAUUAUUUAUUGUUCUUGGUUUUAUUUAUGUAUUUAUAAAUGAAUUCAUUUUUAAUGCAUUACUGCAUUAGAAUAUUUCUGCACAUCAAGAAAAAAUGUAUGAGAGGUUUAAAGAUUUCAGAUCUGUACCUUUAUGCUUGUUUUUAAGCAGUCCCAUUUUUGUGCAAUCUGACAGAUUAUGUCAC